GCCGAAAACAAACUUUCAGGGCUGGACAUGAAACGCAGGAAGGAAGGUGGAGGGUGACUCUGAGAGACAGCCUGUGGGACACAGGGCACACGAGCUGCCAGUGAAAAUCAGGGGGAGGGCGCAGCACACACCCACAGCCCGAUAUAUAGGCAGGUUGAGAAACAUCUGCCCCAGCCCGACACAACCACCUCUGCAGGGCUGAACACACACGCAGGCUUCAGGCAAACCCAGGCAGGAUCAGGAAAGUGAUUGACGUUUUCCAGAGAUGGGCAAAUCACCGGCACUCCUCUCCCUGAUCUGUUUCUUCCUGUUAGGAUCGUCACUUGGUCAGUCAUCCAGCGGGCAAGGAAAAGGAGAAGGAAAGGGCAAGUGCACAGGCUGGGAGACCAAGCUUGCUGGAAUGCUGACGGCGCCCAUAGACUUCCCACAAUUCCUCAAGGAUAAUGCUCAGAACCUUCCCAAGCUGUCGAGCUCCUGCGUGACGUCCUUCAACGCGUCGGCUAACCUCACCGCUGUGACUGAACUAAUGAAAGUCUUGAACGUGCUCUAUGACCAGCUGAAUGAGGGCACAAGAAAGGCUGUUUAUAUGUGGGUGGAGACCGUCUUCAUGAGCUACCAGGCCAAGAAGCUGGUGAAGCCAGAGGCCACUGUGAACCCUAACCAGCUGAAGCCCGGGGUAACUGCAAAACCUGAUAAUUCAAAUAAUCCCUCUAAGGCCAACGAGAAAGACCAGCAGUCUAGCGCCAGUGGCCAGGGUAAGCUAACUCUGCGUCUUGUGCAGUCACACCCCGAAUUCAAACUGCUCUCCCGGACACUGCCGCCAACCACAGAGAUCACCAUGCUAGAAUGUCAGCCCCUUGGUACACUCUUUUGGAAGAUGUCUUCCAAAAGACUUGUUUUACAUUAGUGUGCUUGGCUGGGAUCAUCUGGUCACAAA
RNAcentral lists this long non-coding RNA (937 nucleotides) under Lepisosteus oculatus (spotted gar). RNAcentral's name for it is "lncRNA (ENSLOCG00000021932.1)". Lineage: Eukaryota; Metazoa; Chordata; Actinopteri; Semionotiformes; Lepisosteidae. The record is from RNAcentral.